UAAAUUAAAACUAUAUAUUAUUACAUAAUAAAUAAUGUAUAUUCAUAUAAUAAUUACAAAAAAUUAAAAUAAAAUAAUAAUAAUGAUAAAAAAAAAAAAGGGUUGUGGUGUUACAGCUCAGCUCAAUAUUCUCUGUACAGAUCUAGUUCCAUGCGCAAAGCUCUUCUUCAACCCGUGUAUUGCGCAGGCUCGACGCGGCUCCUUCUCUGGACAGGUCUGAUUCUGCCACAUGCAGAAAUGGUCAGAUGGGUUGGUUCUUAUGAUCAGAGGCGCGCAAAUCUGGUUUCUUUCGCUGCUGGUCGGUCUUUUGGUCAGACACGCAUAGAUCUGAUUUCUUCUCCCGCUGGUCAGCCUUCUGGUCAGACGCGCGCAAAUCUCCUUUCUUCCCUUCUCUAUCUCAUAUUUGACUUUGUAGGGUAGUGAUAAGAGUAGAUUUUGAUAAAUGGAUACUAAUCUAGCCUAUUGUACUAUUUUAGAGUUUGAAUACAAUCCUGAAAUUAAAACUCUAAAAUAAUUUUAUCUGCAUAUGAUAUAAUGUCGG
This 541-nucleotide long non-coding RNA is filed under the name Carica papaya (papaya). RNAcentral's name for it is "long non-coding RNA (CPAP_LNC011174)". The record is from RNAcentral. Lineage: Eukaryota; Viridiplantae; Streptophyta; Magnoliopsida; Brassicales; Caricaceae.